UACGUAGGGGGCAAGCGUUGUCCGGAUUUAUUGGGCGUAAAGAGCGUGUAGGCGGCCAAGCAGGUCCGUUGUGAAAACUGGAGGCUUAACCUCCAGACGUCGACGGAAACCGCGUGGCUAGAGUCCGGAAGAGGAGAGUGGAAUUCCUGGUGUAGCGGUGAAAUGCGCAGAUAUCAGGAAGAACACCAAUGGCGAAGGCAGCUCUCUGGGACGGUACUGACGCUGAGACGCGAAAGCGUGGGGAGCGAACAGG
Molecule: ribosomal RNA, 253 nt
Filed under: uncultured bacterium
Lineage: Bacteria
Description: partial 16S ribosomal RNA
Rfam family: Bacterial small subunit ribosomal RNA
Source: RNAcentral